This 461-nucleotide ribosomal RNA is filed under the name uncultured bacterium. RNAcentral describes it as "partial 16S ribosomal RNA". It matches the Rfam family "Bacterial small subunit ribosomal RNA", at positions 339 to 795 of the family's 1533-position model. The record is from RNAcentral.
CUACGGGCGGCUCCAGUCGAGAAUCUUCCGCAAUGGACGAAAGUCUGACGGAGCGACGCCGCGUGCGGGAUGAAGGCCUUCGGGUUGUAAACCGCUGUCAGUGGGGAGGAAAUGCAUCAGGGUUCUCCCUGGUGUUUGACCGAUCCGCAGAGGAAGCGCAGGCUAAGUUCGUGCCAGCAGCCGCGGUAACACGAACUGCGCGAACGUUAUUCGGAAUCACUGGGCUUAAAGAGUUCGUAGGCGGCCUUUCAAGUCGGGUGUGAAAUCCCUCGACUCAACCGAGGAAUUGCGCCUGAUACUGUUGGGCUUGAGGGGGAUAGGGGUGAGCGGAACUGAUGGUGGAGCGGUGAAAUGCGCUGAUAUCAUCAGGAACACCGGUGGCGAAGGCGGCUCACUGGAUCUCUUCUGGCGCUGAGGAACGAAAGCUAGGGGAGCGAACGGGAUUAGAUACCCUGGUAGUC